This 84-nucleotide non-coding RNA is filed under the name Klebsiella michiganensis. The record is from RNAcentral. Lineage: Bacteria; Pseudomonadati; Pseudomonadota; Gammaproteobacteria; Enterobacterales; Enterobacteriaceae.
GGCACUCUGGCUGGCGUUAUAGAAGUAUCCGUAGCUGUCGCCUAUCAUCUGGCUGAACAGAAGGUCCGGAUUGGGUUUGCCACC